UAAUAAAGCGUUUUAUGGCACUUUUAAAAAUCCAUAUCCACCUUGUGUGCAAUGUUAGAUCUCGUCAAUCUUGGCGAGAUUUUUAUACACCAACUCAUUCUUUGACUAAUUUUUCUGAAAAAUAUUAUGAAUACUUAAUUCAAAAUU
This 147-nucleotide unclassified non-coding RNA is filed under the name uncultured Mortierella. RNAcentral describes it as "sequence contains ITS1". Lineage: Eukaryota; Fungi; Mortierellomycota; Mortierellomycetes; Mortierellales; Mortierellaceae. The record is from RNAcentral.